CCUGUUAUUUGUUAAGAAAAAAAAGCCGAAGUUUCUUGCAUUGUUCAUGCAAUUUCGUUGUUUAUUAACAAAUUGUAUUUUAAACAAGUUGGUGGUCAAUUAGUUAUAAAAUAAAAUAAUUAUUAAUAAAAAGUAAAUAAAUUUAUUGUGUAUAAUAUAUAGCCGAUAGAAAAACAACAAAGAAAUAAGAAAGACUAAUUAAAUUGCAUUUAAAAAAACCUCACCUCUUAACAUCUACAUUACCCUGAGGUAUUCUCAACUUUAACAGCAACCAAAAUGCGUACAGUAUUAGCCUUAUUAUUGGCUUUUGUAGCCUUAGCUCAGGCUGUUUC
Long non-coding RNA from Lucilia sericata (common green bottle fly), 332 nucleotides. RefSeq lists it as uncharacterized. The transcript is spliced from 2 exons. The record is from RefSeq and is a predicted model, not a curated record. Lineage: Eukaryota; Metazoa; Arthropoda; Insecta; Diptera; Calliphoridae.